AUGGACAAUGUGUUCCCUGGAGUAGAGCAUAGGGAAUGCAUGCGUCACCUUGCUGCAAAUUUCAUGAAGAAAUUCAAAGGAAAGGUGUAUACCGACAAUUUAUGGCCAGCAUCUUUGACUUGCAGUGUGAAGAAGCACAACUACCACUUGAGGCAGUUAUACAUGAAUCCCAAAGUGAAAGGAUACUUGGAAACACACCACUCCAAGUUAUGGGCCGGAAGCCAAUUCAGUGAAGUGAGCAAAGUUGACUAUGUGCACAAUAAUCUAGCAGAGUCUUUCAACUCAACGAUCCAGAAA
This 297-nucleotide ribosomal RNA is filed under the name Triticum aestivum (bread wheat). RNAcentral describes it as "partial small subunit ribosomal RNA". The record is from RNAcentral. Lineage: Eukaryota; Viridiplantae; Streptophyta; Magnoliopsida; Poales; Poaceae.